GACAGAGGGGGCAAGCGUUGCUCGGAAUCACUGGGCGUAAAGGGCGCGUAGGCGGGAAGCCAAGUCGGUCGUGAAAUCUCCGGGCUCAACCCGGAGGAGUCGGCCGAAACUGGUUUUCUUGAGGGAGGCAGAGGAGUCUGGAAUUCCCGGUGUAGCGGUGAAAUGUGUAGAGAUCGGGAGGAACACCGGUGGCGAAGGCGGGACUCUGGGCCUACCCUGACGCUGAGGCGCGAAGGCGUGGGGAGCGAACAGG
RNAcentral lists this ribosomal RNA (253 nucleotides) under uncultured bacterium. RNAcentral describes it as "partial 16S ribosomal RNA". It matches the Rfam family "Bacterial small subunit ribosomal RNA", at positions 524 to 776 of the family's 1533-position model. The record is from RNAcentral.